RNAcentral lists this ribosomal RNA (440 nucleotides) under uncultured bacterium. RNAcentral describes it as "partial 16S ribosomal RNA". It matches the Rfam family "Bacterial small subunit ribosomal RNA", at positions 338 to 795 of the family's 1533-position model. The record is from RNAcentral.
CCUACGGGAGUCAGCAGUGGGGGAUAUUGCACAAUGGGGGGAACCCUGAUGCAGCGACGCCGCGUGGGUGAAGAAGCGCCUCGGCGCGUAAAGCCCUGUCAGCAGGGAAGAAAAUGACGGUACCUGAAUAAGAAGCCCCGGCUAACUACGUGCCAGCAGCCGCGGUAAUCCGUAGGGGGAAAGCGUUAUCCGGAUUUACGGGGUGUAAAGGGGGCGCAAACGGCGGUGUAAGCCAGUAGUGAAAGCCCGGGGCCCAACCCCGGGACUGCUCUUGGAACUGCGUGGCUGGAGUGCAGGAGGGGUAGGCGGAAUUCCUGGUGUAGCGGUGAAAUGCGUAGAUAUGAGGAGGAACACCGGUGGCGAAGGCGGCCUGCUGGACUGCAACUGACGUUGAGGCCCGAAAGCGUGGGGAGCAAACAGGAUUAGAUACCCGUGUAGUC